AAGUCACCUAAACAAAACAAUGAAUGGAGCUAAAAGAAAACAUUCAAAGAAUUUCAAUGACUUCGACGAAAAAUUUGCUUCAAGAGGUUAUCAAGAACAAACAGCAUGAUUCAUCAACAGAAAACAAACAAAUAAAUGCCUGGACUACCAUUUGUAAUGAAUUAAACUCAAAUGAAAAAAAGUUUCUCAAAAGGACGCUACAACAACUUCAGGUCCUGUGGAAAAAUGUAAAAAUCAACUUAAAGAAGACAUGCUGUUGCUCUCAGGGAGCGUUUCAAGACUGGUAAGACCAGCGACCGAUGAGGUGAGAUACUUGCUGACCGGGAUCAUUAAUAGCCAACAACCCCUGGAAGGUAUCCCCGAUGAUGACCAUUUGGACAGUUAAGAUGAGGGACCGUUCCAAUCCUCAUUUGGUAGAACACAUUCAUUCAGCAUGUGCCUUCCCUGGACUGCAGGGAAUAUGUCAUGUUGUCAGUCAUCUCUUGCACUCCCAUAAUAAAAAUGAUGCAAUAAACUCAACUCUUGAAAUGUUCUCUAAUGCAGAAAUGUCAUCAUUUUCUCGAGGCAGAUUACCGUAGUUUGGAGGGAACUUGUUUUACGGGAUGGUCAGCUCGCUACAUCUGCAGCAGCCAGGAGGGAAGAUUGUGUCACUAAUCCGGUGCCGGAGGACAAAGACAAAGAGGCUGUGCAUGCAUGAGAAACUGCCCAUGGAAAUUCAUGAGCUCCAACUAAUGUAUUUAAAAGAGCACGUUAGGAAGAUACAAACCCUUCAUGUUGGGUCGGCUAUGAAGGAGGAGAGAAACAGGAAGCAGCAACAGUACCAAUGUUAUUCUUGAUUCAGCACCAGGUCGGGGUCCCGACAUUUCCAUUUGUGAAUUAAAUACCUUUUUGUUACCAA
Oncorhynchus keta (chum salmon) is the source of this 898-nucleotide long non-coding RNA. RefSeq lists it as uncharacterized. The transcript is spliced from 2 exons. NCBI's taxonomy places the organism in Eukaryota, Metazoa, Chordata, Actinopteri, Salmoniformes, Salmonidae. The record is from RefSeq and is a predicted model, not a curated record.